UUAAUUAUUCCAAAGAAAGGAGAGCCUUCACUGCUUGGCUGCAUGGUGGAUGUCAGGAUAAAUCAGCCAAUAAUCCAGCAGAGCUUUGCAAGGAUGCGGGAGUGGAGGCAAGCCAGGCCCAGCCCCUUCCUCCCUCUGCUCUGCAAAGCUGCCUGCCCCGGGGCUCUUUCCAUCUCGAAGACCUCAUUCCUGUGCCCCCAAUUAGCAGUCUGGGAAAUCAGACACAUUUACUGAGCGCCCACUUUGCUCCAGGCACCAGGCAGUUCUCGGGGAGAGGAAGAGAGAAUCGUCAAGAUUCCUGCCCUUAUGGCACGUUCGUGGCUGGUCUGCUGGACGUGAACCAAGAGCCAUUUGCUCCGGAGGCAAGAGUCGAGUCAGGCCCAGCUGGGCUUUCCCAUCCUUUAUGUGCCCGAUCCCAUUAAUAAUUAACGGUACAGUAAUGAGAAUGGCUUUUAAUAGAAUCUGCUGCCAUCACCGCAUUCUCUUCCCCGCCGAGGGUCUCCCCCAAAAGGAUUCACGCUUGUAUGGCUGCCGUUCCCGCCACGGGCACCGGGAAGCCGGAAGUUCUCCUGCCGAUGUCCCUCCCAGCCCCUCCUCUCUUCUGGGCCUGAGCUCCACUCCCUGUGACCUGACAGCCCCCUCACUCCUCCAUUUCCCACCCCUGUCCCGAAGCCCCGCCCAUGUCCCCUUGAGGUGCCCCCUGUGGUGCUCGACUCCCCCACCCAGCCCAGCCAAGCAUGGCGCUGUCACGCCUCGUCUGUCACCAGGGCAAACUGGUCCCAUUGAGCAGGGACGGGGUGGGCGUGAGACCCACACGGUGCAUCCAGGAGCUGACGUUCUGCAUGCACAGGCCCACUUACAGCAAAGGUCAGUGGGACGGGCGUGGAGGCAGGCCCGGGGGUUGAGCCCGGGCUUGGCCGCCAUUUGUGGGACCGCAGAGAGUGUCGUCACCCCUGUCCCCAGCCUCAGUUUAUUCGUCUGCAGAGCAGGGAUGAAGAUGGCCCCUACUCCAUCAGAGUGUUCCGGUGAGAAGAGAAGCGAAUGUGGGAGAAGCAGAAUUAAGGGACGGUCCCUAACAUUCGCUCCAGGAAAACACCACAAUGUGCCCAGGGUUUUAGCUACUCAUGAUGCUAUUCACUGCAGCAUUAUUUAUGAUGUCGCAACUUGGAAACCAGCUCCUCGUUCAAUAUUGGAGGAUUGGCUUCGACAAGUGUGAGCACAUCCACGCAACGGGGCCCAUGCCUGCUUCCCAAACUGGGGUGUGCCUCGGAACCCCCGGGAGCCCUGGGAAAAUGCAGGUUCUGGGGGUCCGGGGCUGAGAUCCUGCUCUUGUAAGAGCUGCUGGUUGGGGACGGCUCCCUGAGUAUAAGGGGGUGGGGCCCUUGGGCGGGUAGAAGUUCGGGGUCUGCUGGCGAUAGAAGAACCAGGUUGAUAACAGUGUGUUCUGGGGUCCCAUCCCAGGCUCAACGCAGAGCGCGUGUGGCUCACUCGGGACAAAGUCGGGAGGCUCGAAGCCGAGCGCUCGAAGUGCUUAUAGAGAGGGGAUGAAUUAUAGAUCGUCUCAAAUUUUCUCUUUGGUUUAUCUUAAUUUCAAAAUUAUCCACAAUUAACAUGUAUUACUUUUGUAAAUGGAGAAAAAUGUUAUUUUUUUAAAAAGAAUAAAUGUUCUCUUCCUUUCCCUACAA
Equus caballus (horse) is the source of this 1685-nucleotide long non-coding RNA. NCBI's taxonomy places the organism in Eukaryota, Metazoa, Chordata, Mammalia, Perissodactyla, Equidae. The record is from Ensembl.